GGUACGAGAUGGGCCCGCGGCCUAUCAGCUUGUUGGUGGGGUAAUGGCCUACCAAGGCGACGACGGGUAGCCGGCCUGAGAGGGCGACCGGCCACACUGGGACUGAGACACGGCCCAGACUCCUACGGGAGGCAGCAGUGGGGAAUAUUGCACAAUGGGCGCAAGCCUGAUGCAGCGACGCCGCGUGAGGGAUGACGGCCUUCGGGUUGUAAACCUCUUUCACCAGGGACGAAGAGUGAUUGACGGUACCUGGAGAAGAAGCACCGGCCAACUACGUGCCAGCAGCCGCGGUAAUACGUAGGGUGCGAGCGUUGUCCGGAAUUACUGGGCGUAAAGAGCUCGUAGGCGGUUUGUCGCGUCGUUCGUGAAAUCUUGAUGCUUAACAUCAAGCGUGCGGGCGAUACGGGCAGACUUGAGUACUACAGGGGAGACUGGAAUUCCUGGUGUAGCGGUGAAAUGCGCAGAUAUCAGGAGGAACACCGGUGGCGAAGGCGGGUCUCUGGGUAGUAACUGACGCUGAGGAGCGAAAGCGUGGGUAGCGAACAGGAUUAGAUACCCUGGUAGUCCACGCCGUAAACGGUGGGUACUAGGUGUGGGUUCCUUUUCACGGGAUCCGUGCCGUAGCUAACGC
RNAcentral lists this ribosomal RNA (631 nucleotides) under Williamsia sp. RNAcentral describes it as "bacterial SSU rRNA". It matches the Rfam family "Bacterial small subunit ribosomal RNA", at positions 217 to 858 of the family's 1533-position model. The record is from RNAcentral. Lineage: Bacteria; Bacillati; Actinomycetota; Actinomycetes; Mycobacteriales; Nocardiaceae.